CAACUCUCAACAACGGAUAUCUUGGCUCCCGCAACGAUGAAGAACGCAGCGAAAUGCGAUACCUAGUGUGAAUUGCAGAAUCAUGUGAAUCAUCGAGUCUUUGAACGCAAAUUGCGCCUGAGGUCUAGGCCGAAGGCAUGUCUGGCUCAGCGUCGUUUC
Molecule: ribosomal RNA, 159 nt
Filed under: Botryococcus braunii
Lineage: Eukaryota; Viridiplantae; Chlorophyta; Trebouxiophyceae
Description: 5.8S ribosomal RNA
Rfam family: 5.8S ribosomal RNA
About the family: 5.8S ribosomal RNA (5.8S rRNA) is a component of the large subunit of the eukaryotic ribosome. It is transcribed by RNA polymerase I as part of the 45S precursor that also contains 18S and 28S rRNA. Functionally, it is thought that 5.8S rRNA may be involved in ribosome translocation.
Source: RNAcentral